Molecule: ribosomal RNA, 533 nt
Filed under: uncultured eukaryote
Lineage: Eukaryota
Description: SSU rRNA
Rfam family: Eukaryotic small subunit ribosomal RNA
Source: RNAcentral
GUCUCAACGGGUAACGGGGAAUUAGGGUUCUAUUCCGGAGAGGGAGCCUGAGAAACGGCUACCACAUCCAAGGAAGGCAGCAGGCGCGCAAAAUUACCCAAUCCCAAUUCGGGGAGGUAGUGACAAUAAAUACUGAUACAGGGCUCUUUUGGGUCUUGUAAUUGGAAUGAGUACAAUCUAAAUCCCUUAACGAGGAACAAUUGGAGGGCAAGUCUGGUGCCAGCAGCCGCGGUAAUUCCAGCUCCAAUAGCGUAUAUUAAAGUUGUUGCCGUUAAAAAGACUCGUAGUUGAACCUUGGGCCUGGCUGAUCUGUCCUCCUAAUCGAGCGCACGGAUUCGGUCGGGCCUUUCCUUCUGGGGAGCCCGAUGCCCUUCACUGGGCGUCGUGGGGAACCAGGACUUUUACCUUGAAAAAUUAGAGUGUUCAAAGCAGGCCUUUGCUCGAAUACAUUAGCAUGGAAUAAUAGAAUAGGACAGAGGUUCUAUUUUGUUGGUUUCUAGGACCGCUGUAAUGAUUAAUAGGGAUAGUCGGGG